UGAGUUUUUGAAAGUUAUAUAACGUUUGAAAUGAUGGUCCGGCGAAAAUUAUUUAAAAUUGGAGAAACAAGAACAGAAAAUGCGCAUAGCUAGUCGGCGUAAUUGGUAUAUACAUAUAAUGAAUAUAAUCUAUAAUAUAAUGAAUGUAGAAGACAACAGUAAUGGUAGUGUAUAGGUCAUUCAAAACUUUAAAAUGUAAUGACAGUGUAAGUCAGUGGCAAAACCUUAUUAACAUGAAGCAGUGUAUAGUUAUCCAAACAAUCGAUAUCUGUUGGACUUUAUAAAAUAGCCUUUUAAAAACACGGGCGCUGAUUGGUCAAAAGCUAAAAAAAACGUGUUUCUAUAACUCGAUAGAAACACGGGGAAUUUUCACGCGGGUUGCGUGGAUUGCGCGGGAGUUUAAAAGACAAAAUACAAACAAUAUUUAAUUUUGAAAAAAGUUGAAAAACGUCCCGAAACGCCGAAGAACCGUUACAAAAAAAGGGCAACACUUUGCUAACUUAGAAAGCGAAGACCUAAAGCACAAAGUAUAAUUAUAGCACACGUUGUAUCUGUUUGACUGUUUACCAAGGUAAGAUAUUUUAAUUUCACUUUGACUUUGUCUUUUUAAAAAAAUAUUUCCUUAAACGUUCACUAACUAUUUAAAGCAGUGCUUUCUUUGCAUGGAAGCAUGUACGUUGUUGAGUGAAUUAUAUACUUAGUAAAGUCAGCCUGUUGUUUUGACAGCGAUAU
Paramuricea clavata is the source of this 732-nucleotide non-coding RNA. Lineage: Eukaryota; Metazoa; Cnidaria; Anthozoa; Malacalcyonacea; Plexauridae. The record is from the annotation of a GenBank genome assembly.